RNAcentral lists this long non-coding RNA (5311 nucleotides) under Mytilus galloprovincialis (Mediterranean mussel). Lineage: Eukaryota; Metazoa; Mollusca; Bivalvia; Mytilida; Mytilidae. The record is from RNAcentral.
UAUCUAUUUAACUAUUUAUAAUCUGGUCUUAUCUCAUUGUCAACAACUUUUGAAAUGUUAGGGAUUAUAUUUCUGAGUCUUAUAAUAGGUUUGUUUCUUUUCUUUUCUUUUCUAUGUUAUGAUAUGUAUUAAAACGUUUAGGUUCUUUCUAAUGAUAAAAAGUGGUAACAGAAAAUUGCUUGGAAUGCCCAGCAAACACAUAACAUUUUAAAAACAUUUUCUUUAAGUCAUAUAAACGUCCUUCUGAAAACAUUGUAACAAGAUAGCAUUGAAACAUAAACAAAUGUUUAGUGUAUUGUCUUUGAAAUGUUUGAAUUGUAACAUUUGAGUAAGAUGUUAUUACAACAUCCAAAUAACGUUAUUUGGUAAUAUCUUUUAGUCACGUUCUUAAACAUUGUUCUGAAAUAUCCCGUUCAUAUUUCAAUAAUAAAAGAAAAUGAUAUUUGCUUUAAUUGGUAUUUAAACUUGUUACAACUUUAAUGCAAGGUAAAUAUUUCCCAAACAUAAAAAGAAAUCGGCAAAAAAUAGUUUAGUAAGGGGAGGGGUAAACUUUUUUAGCGGACAACUGUAAGUUCAAUAACUACAUUUGAAAAACCAGUUUAUGAUUAAUUGGCGACACUACACACACUCAAUUCAUUUUUGAUUUGCGAAACCUUACACACUCAAUACAUUUGUAAUCAGCGAUACCACACACACUCAAUUCAUAUGUCACUGUCGAUAAAUCUUGUACAUGAUUGAAAUCGAAUUAUCUCCCGUUUACUAUGGUUAAUAAAAAUCUAAAAUGCAUAACAUUACAGGAAAAAAAAUAAAUUGACAUAAAUACCGAUCUUCUAGGAAAAUUCAAAACAGAAUGUUAUUUAACACAAAUAGCAAAAUCAAAAGCUCAAAUACACCGAACGAAUGGUAACAACUCACAUGUUCCAUACUUGGUGUAGGAAUUGUCUUAUAAUGUACAAAAUGGUGCAUUACAUCUGGUUUUAAAGCCAGAUAAACCUCUCACUUGCAUGAAAGUAGAACAAAAUUCCAUUACAUCAACAACAAUGUUAAGCACAACAAACAGACACAAUAGAUAUAAAUCUCGAAAAUUAGGGUACCACAGUCAGCAUAAUUUUAUUAUCGUAACACUAUUAAAACAAACUACUAUGGCAACACAGAAAAACAAAAUUGCUCGUAGAAACUUUAUAGACAUAGAAAACAGUCAUAAAUGAAUACAAGAAUACAAAACAUGACCACAGCACAAUAACAAAUUGGUGGGAUGUACAAAUACCUAGCCACGCAAAAGGAUAUAACCACCAAUAGACUACACAAAAGGGUUAAAAUAUAUAGACAAAAAAAAAAACACAGUUGCACGUUAUAAAAAUGAUAAACAACAUCAGCAACUAGAAUCGAUAUUUCAAGACCAUCAUGUAUUAUUUGUGAAGUUGAUUAGGAACAUUACAAAUGCGUUAUAUGUAUGUCAGAUAGAACAUACUCUUUAUAAGUAAAGUUAGAUUUUUGUCGCAAGUUUAUUAUAUUUUAUCACUUACAUUGUUGUAUGUUAUUCCCCAACAGGUAAUUGUCUUACUGAUAGACAUUGUUCUCAGAAAAGCGACUGUACAGGUUAUUUGCAGUGUCCACCAUUUAGGCGAGUGGAAUGCUUAAACGGAUUAUGUGAUUGCUAUCACGUGCCUGGUGUUCCUGGUAGGUAUUAAAGAUAGUUUUUGUUGUGUUGUUGGGGUUGCGUUGUCGUCUUAAAACCCGUAUCUCCUUUUCUGAUAAAAACAGAAAUGCUCAAUUAUAUAAUUUAUUCUAAUAUAAUUUUAACAAUUAAACAAAAACAAAACAAAAAGACCCAACAAGAAGUACAUUUGUAAUAUGAAAGUUGUAGAAGAUGCUUAAUGUUUUAUUAGUCAACGUGUUUCCGUGAUCGGUCACGUAAGACAUUUUCACAAUUAUUGUGAUCAUGGGAAGUACAAUCACAACGAUUAGCAGAAAUGAAUUUAAGACACCAAAGACGAAAAACAAUACCGAAACUAAAUUAAUUUUCCUGAGAAAUACGUUGCGGUUUUUCAUUCAUUUGUGUCUUUCAAUGACACUAGAUACACGUAACCUAGAAAUGUCAUCCUGAAAAAUGAUACUAUCACGAACUUGUUGGAAAUAGUACUUGUAUUGAUCUUCAUAUACACAUAAUAAAGCAUGUACAAACUUCUAACAACUUCAAUAACCGUUUCACAAAUGAUAUCGGAUAUGUUCCUUACGUCUUAACUACAAUCCCCUUCCCUUUCAUGAAUGUGACCUACCGAAUUAGACUAUUUACCGGAUUUGUUAUCACAUAAGCAACACGACGGGUGCCACAUGUGGAGCAGGAUCUGCUUACCCUUCCGGAGCACCUGAGAUCACCCUUAGUUUUGGUGGGGUUCGUGUUCUUUAGUUUUCUAUGUUGUGUCAUGUGUUCUAUUGUUUGUUUGUCUUUUUCAUUUUUAGCCAUGGUGUGGUCUGUUUAUUUUAGAUUUCUGAGUUUGACUGUCCCUUUGGUAUCUUUCGUCAUUCUUUUUCAACCAAUACUACAUAUGUACAGUGAAGAUGCAAAAAUAGAUUGACGAAGGAUGCUGAUUGGUUUCUUUCUUUAUCAAAUCCCUUUUACUCACUUUUAGCAUUUAUUAUUUGGUAAAGCUUUGUAACAAUCACUCUAAAUUGCCAUAAAAACUGCAGUUAUUCAUGCGUAGCUCGACACGUGUUUUAGAAUAAGCGAGCUCAAUUCGUGUAUUUCCCAGGCAAACAUGCAAUAAAUUAAUGUAAGGUAUGUCGCACUUUUAAAGUGUUAACAAAUAAUUUCCUGGACUGCCAUAUUAAAAAAAAACUUGUGAUAACGAUAGAAAGGACGUAGGCAUUAGGACAAGAAAAGAUAUCCAAUCUGUUGUGUUUUGGUCGUGAAAUAAUUAGCUGUCAAAAUUAGUUUAAAGGUUGUAACAAAUAACGCAUUCUAUAUUUCUAUAUUCGGAUCAAAAUUGACUUUAUCGACAUUGAAUAUCCAGUGAAAGCGUCAUGCUUACAGUUAAAGGUCGCCAACUUUGAGUAAUGACCGAAUUUUGAAAUAACGCUUGACACUAAAUAGGGACAAGCUCAAGUUUUCUAAACAAAUUUAAAAAAAACUAUGGACUGCUUCGCUCUAUCCUGAUUUAAUGUAAUGUUUAUGCAUGUGGUUGUUGGUUUAAGUAUUUAAAUUGAUAUCAAAUGCAAUAAAUAAUUAGUUUCAGUGAAAAUGGUGCUGUUCUACUUUAAGAGUGUGCGUUAUACACCCAUACUUUUAAAAUUUUGUUCAAUUUACUUGUUGAAAAUUAAAAAAAAAAAAAAUACAAAUAGACAUGACUUUGGAGGUGUGCCUAUGUAGAGGUUUGCCCAGAUUGGCAGAAGUUAUACAAUACAGAUAAUCUGCAUUUUUUAAAACAUUGUAUACGAACAUUGUUUAGAAACACAAAUCAUGCGUAUUGCAGAUUAUUAAACAAAGCAAAUAAAGACGUAUAAUUAUGUCAAUAUUGAAUUUCUGUGUGCAAUAUAUGCAUAAUAAAACGAACACGGAUCAAUAACAGUUGAUCAAAACUGAUAUACACAUAGUUAAUUUUCUGGCUUUUAUGUCUUAUCCUGAGACGAGAAAAUUCUGUAAUUCUUUAGGCAACCAAUCAGAAUCUACAAGUAACUAUUUCAAGAUGGCGUGUAUAACGACUUAAUCUAGUAGCUACGCACCGUGAUGCGAAGCAAACACACAUGUGAGACAUCGAUAUGUUUCUAAUUUUGAGUUGAUUAAAAUGAUUAUUAUUGUAUUUAAAGGAAGUAUUAAUGCCUGUAUCAAGUCAGGAAUAUGACAGUUAUAUCCAUUCGUUUGAUGUGUUUGAUCUUUUGAAUUUGCCAUUUGAUUUGGGACUUUCCUUUUUGAAAAAAGUAAAAUCACAAAAAUACUGAACUUAGAGGAAAAUCAAUUCGGAAAGUCCAUAAUCACAUGGCAAAAUCAAAUAACAAAACGCAUCAAAAACGAAUGGACAAGAACUGUCAUAUUCCUGCAUGACUUGGUACAAGCAGUUUCAAAUGUAGAAAAAUGUGGAUUAAACCUUGUUUUAUAGCGCUAACCCUCUCACUUUGAUGACAGUCUCAUCAAAUUCCGUUAUAUUUACAUUGAUGCGUUAACUAAACAGACACACUAAAUAAAUGAAUGAAUUUUCCUCGGAGUUCAGUAUUUUUGUGUUUUUACUUUUUUUUUAAUAAAGGUCAUCCUUAAAUCUGCUAUGGUUUAAAAGGACUUGAAAGAAGUGGUGUGGUAUAUUACUUCGUGACACAAAUCACUAUAGGCACUGAGCGUCAAGCAAAUAAAUAGACGUUGCGCACUAUGUUGGUACUAAUGAGCGUUCUAGGACGUUUCUUAUAAUAAGCCGAUUUGGACGAUUUCAAAGAACGUUUCAAGCAUUUGAGCUAAUUAACUGUAAAACAUCUGGUAAUACAUUACGUUUUUCGGUAAAAACGGAACAUUUAAGUGUAAAUAACGGCAACAGUAGUAUACCGCUGUUCAAAACUCAUAAAUCUAUCAUGGACAAAAAACAAAAUCGGGGUAACAAACUAAAACUGAGGGAAACGCAUUAAAUAUUAGAGGAAAACAACGACACAACAUUAAAAUCUAACACACACAGCAACGGACUAAGCAUCAGACAAAAUCCGAUGAGAAUAACCAAUAUAACAUCAAAACCAAAUACAUAAAUUUGGGAUAGAAAAGUACCGUGACAUUUUGGUAUUUUAUAUUUCGGUUUCUAUUUUCUUAAUUUUUAAUUUUAUUGUAUUGAGUUCAACCAGAAAUCACUAUAUUUUUAUCUAAAUGACAUCUUAAACUUUUAUAUCUGAUUUUUUCCGAUCUUAUUUCUAAAUACAUAUACAUGUAAGAUAAAUAUGAAUUAUCAUAAUCAAAGUAGCAUACAGAUUUGUUCUAACAAGACAGUCGCCACAGUUUCUAUGCUGCCUAUAACCAAACAUAGACACAGUUAAAUAUUUGCAUUCCCAUAUUGUUUUGAAAAACUUUAAAACCUUGAAAUAUGUAAAAAUAUUAAUUACUAUAUGAAAUAGAACCUCUACGUACAUAUUUGCUUACCACUAGAAUAAGUAUCAGUGUGGGUUUUAUUUUUCAAGAUUUUUCUUUUUCAGCCUGUUAUAGACCAAGUGAUUGCAAUGAAUAUGGUAUUUGUCCAACAGGUUGGCGAUGCGAACAAUCAACUAAUUUCUGCCGUUGUUAAUUUUUUGGAAUGGCUCUAUCAAAAUGUAGCAGAAUGAAAUAAAUACUGAGCUAUUAACA